Molecule: ribosomal RNA, 253 nt
Filed under: uncultured bacterium
Lineage: Bacteria
Description: partial 16S ribosomal RNA
Rfam family: Bacterial small subunit ribosomal RNA
Source: RNAcentral
UACGUAGGGUGCGAGCGUUAAUCGGAAUUACUGGGCGUAAAGGGUGCGUAGGCGGCUAUGUAAGUCAGGAGUGAAAGUUUGCGGCUCAACCGUAAAAUUGCUUUUGAUACUGCAUGGCUGGAAUUAGGAUGAGGUCAGCGGAAUGUGGCAUGUAGCGGUGAAAUGCAUAGAUAUGCCAUAGAACACCAAUUGCGAAGGCAGCUGGCUAGACCUGGAUUGACGCUGAGGCACGAAAGCGUGGGGAGCGAACAGG